Molecule: ribosomal RNA, 433 nt
Filed under: uncultured bacterium
Lineage: Bacteria
Description: partial 16S ribosomal RNA
Rfam family: Bacterial small subunit ribosomal RNA
Source: RNAcentral
AACGAACGCUGGCGGCAUGCCUAACACAUGCGAGUCGAACGAGACCUUCGGGUCUAGUGGCGCACGGGUGCGUAACGCGUGGGAACCUGCCCUUAGGUUCGGAAUAACUCCCCGAAAGGGGUGCUAAUACCGGAUAAUGUCUUCGGACCAAAGAUUUAUCGCCUUUGGGUGGGCCCGCGUUGGAUUAGCUAGUUGGUAGGGUAAAAGCCUACCAAGGCGACGAUCUAUAGCUGGUCUGAGAGGAUGAUCAGCCACACUGGGACUGAGACACGGCCCAGACUCCUACGGGAGGCAGCAGUGGGGAAUAUUGGACAAUGGGCGAAAGCCUGAUCCAGCAAUGCCGCGUGAGUGAUGAAGGCCUUAGGGUUGUAAAGCUCUUUUACCCGGGAUGAUAAUGACAGUACCGGGAGAAUAAGCGCCGGCUAACUCCGUG